CACGUAGGGGGCAAGCGUUGUCCGGAUUUAUUGGGCGUAAAGAGCUCGUAGGCGGCUCGAUAAGUCGGGUGUGAAAUUUCAGGGCUCAACCCUGAAACGCCACCCGAUACUGUCGUGGCUAGAGUCCGGUAGGGGAGCGUGGAAUUCCUAGUGUAGCGGUGAAAUGCGCAGAUAUUAGGAGGAACACCAGCGGCGAAGGCGGCGCUCUGGGCCGGUACUGACGCUGAGGAGCGAAAGCGUGGGGAGCAAA
This 250-nucleotide ribosomal RNA is filed under the name uncultured bacterium. Its description in RNAcentral is "partial 16S ribosomal RNA". It matches the Rfam family "Bacterial small subunit ribosomal RNA", at positions 524 to 772 of the family's 1533-position model. The record is from RNAcentral.